AUUGAACGCUGGCGGCAUGCCUUACACAUGCAAGUCGAACGGUAACGCGGGGCAACCUGGCGACGAGUGGCGAACGGGUGAGUAAUACAUCGGAACGUGCCCAGUAGUGGGGGAUAGCCCGGCGAAAGCCGGAUUAAUACCGCAUACGACCUAUGGGUGAAAGCGGGGGACCGCAAGGCCUCGCGCUAUUGGAGCGGCCGAUGUCAGAUUAGGUAGUUGGUGGGGUAAAGGCCUACCAAGCCUACGAUCUGUAGCUGGUCUGAGAGGACGACCAGCCACACUGGGACUGAGACACGGCCCAGACUCCUACGGGAGGCAGCAGUGGGGAAUUUUGGACAAUGGGCGAAAGCCUGAUCCAGCCAUGCCGCGUGCGGGAAGAAGGCCUCGGUUGUAACGAC
This 398-nucleotide ribosomal RNA is filed under the name uncultured bacterium. RNAcentral describes it as "bacterial SSU rRNA". It matches the Rfam family "Bacterial small subunit ribosomal RNA", at positions 29 to 430 of the family's 1533-position model. The record is from RNAcentral.